CGGGACCUCGACACACACUCGCAGCGCGCCCUCCGCAAAAGCGCCUCCACGAAUACUUAUAGCUUCUUCUGGUGUAUUGCAUUGCAGUCUGAGGAUUCAAAAGCGCGAUGGCUUGUCACCCCUUUGCUGUGGUCCUAGCGUGUCUGGUCCUGGCGACGGCGUCCUCCCUGUCCGUUUUAGAAAAGUCAACGGUAUUCGACUAAUUGCAAGGACAGCUGGAUAACCUGGAAGUGAGAUAUUAUAAAUCAUAAAAAAUAAGAUAGCUUCGUAUUUAAUUGCAUUUGGCUGCACGAUCCCCAUGUACCCACC
Molecule: long non-coding RNA, 309 nt
Organism: Penaeus indicus
Lineage: Eukaryota; Metazoa; Arthropoda; Malacostraca; Decapoda; Penaeidae
Exons: 3
Source: RefSeq, a predicted model, not a curated record